Molecule: non-coding RNA, 21 nt
Filed under: Rattus norvegicus (Norway rat)
Lineage: Eukaryota; Metazoa; Chordata; Mammalia; Rodentia; Muridae
Source: RNAcentral
UUCAUUAUAUUUGCCAUGGUC